CUGCAGCCAACUAAAUCUGCCAGAUCUCUUUCCUCACGGGUCCUGGUAUGCAAUGGCUAUGAACAGUGGCUUCAGUGGUAGUGAAGGUAGCUCAUUGCCUACAUGGGUUUCCCUAAGAAAUCUUAGAUACAGUU
Molecule: small nucleolar RNA, 134 nt
Organism: Cricetulus griseus (Chinese hamster)
Lineage: Eukaryota; Metazoa; Chordata; Mammalia; Rodentia; Cricetidae
Gene: SNORA70
Rfam family: Small nucleolar RNA SNORA70
About the family: snoRNA U70 seems to be exclusive to mammals and is a member of the H/ACA class of snoRNA which contain H (ANANNA) and ACA box motifs. H/ACA box snoRNAs are involved in the conversion of uridines to pseudouridines (5-ribosyluracil) a constituent of structural RNAs (transfer, ribosomal, small nuclear, and small nucleolar).
Source: Ensembl